CCUUCGGAGAGUUUGAUCAUGGCUCAGGACGAACGCUGGCGGCGUGCCUAAAACAUGCAAGUCGAACGUCCCCCUUCGGGGGGUAAGUGGCGAACGGCGGAGUAAUACAUGAGGAAGCUGCCUCGAAGACUGGGAUAUACGGUCGAAAGACCGGGCAAUACCAGAUGUGGCUCCAGAAGGGCAUCCUUUUGGAAUCAAACGGCGCAAGUCGCUUCGAGAGGCUCUCAUGGCCUAUCAGGUAGUUGGUGGGGUAACGGCCUACCAAGCCUACGACGGGUAGCGGGUCUGAGAGGACGAUCCGCUCGAGUGGGACUGAGACACGGCCCACACACCUACGGGUGGCAGCAGUUGGGAAUCUUGCACAAUGGGGGCAACCCUGAUGCAGCGACGCCGCGUGGAAGACGAAGGCCCUAGGGUCGUAAAUUCCUUUUGUCGAGGAAGACUUAGGACGGUACUCGACGAAUAAGCACCGGCUAACUACGUGCCAGCAGCCGCGGUAAUACGUAGGGUGCAA
Molecule: ribosomal RNA, 514 nt
Filed under: Fimbriimonadaceae bacterium
Lineage: Bacteria; Bacillati; Armatimonadota; Fimbriimonadia; Fimbriimonadales; Fimbriimonadaceae
Description: bacterial SSU rRNA
Rfam family: Bacterial small subunit ribosomal RNA
Source: RNAcentral